RNAcentral lists this long non-coding RNA (289 nucleotides) under Chrysolophus pictus (golden pheasant). RNAcentral describes it as "lncRNA (ENSCPIG00010001960.1)". The record is from RNAcentral. Lineage: Eukaryota; Metazoa; Chordata; Aves; Galliformes; Phasianidae.
CUCCAGGGGAACACUGAGUAUGAAUUCCAAGUGAGAGCCAGACCCCGAGAAGACUCUGGCUACUACGGAUUUUGGAGUGAAUGGAGCUCCCGGCUGACACUGAAAACCAGCCCUACUGUCGUAACACAGAGAGCAGGCAUGGAAUGGAUGCUGUUCUUUAUUGUUGCCAUGGUGAUCACUGCCUCAAUCGCAACCUUUCUGGCCAAGCAACAGAGCUUGUGGAAGAAGAUCACUUGCAUCCCAGAUCCAUCUGCCUUUUUCAAACCACUUUACCUGAUGUAUAAUGGAG